Molecule: ribosomal RNA, 1208 nt
Filed under: Apilactobacillus kunkeei
Lineage: Bacteria; Bacillati; Bacillota; Bacilli; Lactobacillales; Lactobacillaceae
Description: bacterial SSU rRNA
Rfam family: Bacterial small subunit ribosomal RNA
Source: RNAcentral
AUUUGGAAACAAGUGCUAAUACCGCAUAAUUAGUUGGAACCGCAUGGUUCCAACUUGAAAGAUGGCUCUGCUAUCACUUUGGGAUGGACCCGCGCCGUAUUAGUUAGUUGGUGAGAUAAAAGCCCACCAAGACGAUGAUACGUAGCCGACCUGAGAGGGUAAUCGGCCACAUUGGGACUGAGACACGGCCCAGACUCCUACGGGAGGCAGCAGUAGGGAAUCUUCCACAAUGGACGAAAGUCUGAUGGAGCAACGCCGCGUGAGUGAUGAAGGUUUUCGGAUCGUAAAACUCUGUUGUUAAAGAAGAACAAGUGUUAGAGUAACUGUUAACACUUUGACGGUAUUUAACCAGAAAGCCACGGCUAACUACGUGCCAGCAGCCGCGGUAAUACGUAGGUGGCAAGCGUUGUCCGGAUUUAUUGGGCGUAAAGCGAGCGCAGGCGGUUUUGUAAGUCUGCUGUGAAAGCCCUCAGCUCAACUGAGGAAGUGCAGUGGAAACUACAAAACUUGAGUACAGAAGAGGAAAGUGGAACUCCAUGUGUAGCGGUGAAAUGCGUAGAUAUAUGGAAGAACACCAGUGGCGAAGGCGGCUUUCUGGUCUGUUACUGACGCUGAGGCUCGAAAGCAUGGGUAGCGAACAGGAUUAGAUACCCUGGUAGUCCAUGCCGUAAACGAUGAAUACUAGGUGUUGGAGGGUUUCCGCCCUUCAGUGCCGCAGCUAACGCAUUAAGUAUUCCGCCUGGGGAGUACGACCGCAAGGUUGAAACUCAAAGGAAUUGACGGGGGCCCGCACAAGUGGUGGAGCAUGUGGUUUAAUUCGAUGCUACGCGAAGAACCUUACCAGCUCUUGACAUCUUCUGCCAACCCAAGAGAUUGGGCGUUCCCUUCGGGGACAGAAUGACAGGUGGUGCAUGGUUGUCGUCAGCUCGUGUCGUGAGAUGUUGGGUUAAGUCCCGCAACGAGCGCAACCCUUAUUAUUAGUUGCCAGCAUUUAGUUGGGCACUCUAGUGAGACUGCCGGUGAUAAACCGGAGGAAGGUGGGGACGACGUCAAAUCAUCAUGCCCCUUAUGAGCUGGGCUACACACGUGCUACAAUGGAUGGUACAACGAGUCGCGAAACCGCGAGGUCAAGCUAAUCUCUUAAAGCCAUUCUCAGUUCGGAUUGCAGGCUGCAACUCGCCUGCAUGAAGUUGGAAUCACUAGUAAUC